UCCCCUGUGACUCAGUGGUAAAGAAUCAGCCUGCAAUGCAGGAGACCCAGGUUCGAUCCCUGGGUAGGGAA
Molecule: transfer RNA, 71 nt
Filed under: Bos taurus (domestic cattle)
Lineage: Eukaryota; Metazoa; Chordata; Mammalia; Artiodactyla; Bovidae
Also listed under: 4 other names
Rfam family: tRNA
About the family: Transfer RNA (tRNA) molecules are approximately 80 nucleotides in length. Their secondary structure includes four short double-helical elements and three loops (D, anti-codon, and T loops). Further hydrogen bonds mediate the characteristic L-shaped molecular structure. tRNAs have two regions of fundamental functional importance: the anti-codon, which is responsible for specific mRNA codon recognition, and the 3' end, to which the tRNAs corresponding amino acid is attached (by aminoacyl-tRNA synthetases). tRNAs cope with the degeneracy of the genetic code in two manners: having more than one tRNA (with a specific anti-codon) for a particular amino acid; and 'wobble' base-pairing, i.e. permitting non-standard base-pairing at the 3rd anti-codon position.
Source: Rfam by way of RNAcentral